This 255-nucleotide ribosomal RNA is filed under the name uncultured bacterium. RNAcentral describes it as "partial 16S ribosomal RNA". It matches the Rfam family "Bacterial small subunit ribosomal RNA", at positions 524 to 776 of the family's 1533-position model. The record is from RNAcentral.
CACGUAGGGUGCGAGCGUUUGUCCGGAAUUAUUGGGCGUAAAGAGCUCGUAGGCGGUGUGUCGCGUCGGCCGUGAAAACCUGCAGCUUAACUGUGGGCUUGCGGUCGAUACGGGCAUCACUGGAGUUCGGCAGGGGAGACUGGAAUUCCUGGUGUAGCGGUGAAAUGCGCAGAUAUCAGGAAGAACACCUAUGGCGAAGGCAGCUCUCUGGGACGGUACUGACGCUGAGACGCGAAAGCGUGGGGAGCGAACAGG